RNAcentral lists this ribosomal RNA (274 nucleotides) under uncultured bacterium. RNAcentral's name for it is "partial 16S ribosomal RNA". It matches the Rfam family "Bacterial small subunit ribosomal RNA", at positions 523 to 796 of the family's 1533-position model. The record is from RNAcentral.
AUACAGAGGGUGCAAGCGUUAUUCGGAAUUACUGGGCGUAAAGCGCGCGUAGGCGGAUGAUUAAGUCAGUUGUGAAAGCCCUGGGCUCAACCUAGGAACUGCAUCUGAUACUGGUCAUCUAGAGUUUAAGAGAGGGAAGUGGAAUUCCAGGUGUAGCAGUGAAAUGCGUAGAUAUCUGGAGGAACAUCAGUGGCGAAGGCGACUUCCUGGCUUAGAACUGACGCUGAGGUGCGAAAGCGUGGGUAGCGAACGGGAUUAGAAACCCCAGUAGUCC